Molecule: long non-coding RNA, 1816 nt
Filed under: Homo sapiens (human)
Lineage: Eukaryota; Metazoa; Chordata; Mammalia; Primates; Hominidae
Description: HSALNT0074996
Source: RNAcentral
UCUUUGUAGGAAUUAUUUGAAAUUAUUCUACUUAUAUAGACAAUGGUGUAUUUUAUGUCUUUCCGCAAUACAUCCCAUGAAAACAGGGACCUUGCCUGUCUUAUUACUACUCUAUUUGCUGCCUAGAACAGUGCCAGGUGCAUAGAAAGAGCUCAAUAAAACUCUGUAAAAUCGCAUUGCUAAUUCUUUAGUAAUAAAAAAUUUACCACAGUAGCCCCUAGCAUACUGCCCUUCUGGAUUCAAGGUGAGCUCUUUUUAUUUUUUUCUUUUCUUUAAACAAACCAUAAGUAUUUACUUUGAAGAUGAAAAAUUCCAUGGGAAAAUGAUAGUGGUUGUCAUAAUUUCAAUUAGAUCACGAAUAUCCAAUUUGUUUCAAGUUGUUUGAUACUGAUCUGGAGGAAAUACAGAUCUUUUUAAAUAUAACAAUAUAGGAAAUCAUAUGAAUUGAAGUAGAAUAAAUUAUCUCCAUAUAACUUUAAAAUUGGAAUGAAAAUAAAUUUUAACAUUGAUUUAGCAAGAAGUAUUAUCAAGAGAAAAGCUAUAAUAUCUUUAGAAAGUCAAUGGCAGGUAUCAAUUUAAAAUACCAAAUACCAUAACUAGUAAUGCUUUUUGUAAUGUAUUGAAAGAAACCUAAGUUAGGCAAUAAUAUUGAUGAUGAAUAUUAUGAUUAUAACAGCCGAUACUAAAUAAAUGCUUGUUAUAUUGUAGGCAUUGCCCCAAAAACUUUACAUUUAUUAUUCCGGCUGAUAAUUUAAUGUGAAACAAAUAAUCGAUUUCCCUCCAAUUGCUCAACUCUCUAGAUCUCAGAAGAUAUCCAAUCCUGUCUAUAGGAUGCAACAUAAAAUUGUCACCUCAUUGGAUUGGAGGUGCUGUCCUGGAUACAGUGGGCCGAAAUGUCAACUAAGAGGUACACUCUAAUAUUAAUAAUCACAAUUCUGAACAAUAAGAAACUGAUUCUAUUGAAGAAAAGAAUAGCAUUUCCCCUUUUGAACCAAGGUAAAUUAACAUGUAGCCAAACUCCUAGGACUGUUAUACUUUCUAAGCUUUCUAACUUGGUAGCUUUUAUAACACUCUGAAAUCUCAUAAGCUAUUCUUUAACUUCUCCCCCCAUUUUUAUGUUGGAUUUAUAUGAUGAGCAAAUGGAAAUCUGAUGAAAGAUCUUACUUAUUCUUAACAACAAGCUAUAGAGGCAUGCCUUAUUAAAAUAUCAGGAAUGCUAAUUUUCAAUUUUUAAAUAAAGUGUUAUUAGAAGUGACUCAAUAUAAAAAUAAGACUACCAUCUAGUUUUGUUCCAGUUCAGUUAUUUGAAAUAAUGUGCAUAUGAAUGAAAUUUAGUAUUAAAGGACAUACAAGGUAUGUCAUGAAUAAUUCUCUCUUUUUCAAAAUUCUAAUGGAGCUAUUUUUUUUUUUUCAGCUGAGGUUUUAAGGACUUUCUGGUGGCAAGGCUGAUCAAACACAUGGUAACCCGCUGUGGCCUAAUAUCCAUGUGACUAUUAUUUUGCUUUUGGCUUUAAACAGGUUUCCUUUGAAAAAUAAGAUACAGCAUCAGCAUACAUAUUUUAAAUGAAUGAAUAUUACAAGAAAGGCCAUUAGCAGUGGUGGGGAAUUCAAUCAACAGUAUAAGAGACUGUGAUUAAAAAUUAAUAAAACUGUGGAGAAACCGUUAUGGCUCACAUUAAGAAAAAGAAAAUUAUAAUACAAAAGCUCUAGGAAUCCUGCAUUUUAGUUAGGGAUAUUAUUUAUGGUUUUACUAGCCUAUACAAUGAGAAUCUACAGGCAAAUUUCACCAUAAUGCUAUUUGUUCUGGGUCUGGCCU